GGCGACGAACACGGGAGCCCUACCGACUGGGCUGAGAGGAAAGCAGUUUCGCUUUCGACCGUUUGGACCUGAACCGGGUAAUGCCGGCGCAGGAAGGUUUUCUCUUCUCCGUG
This 113-nucleotide non-coding RNA is filed under the name Actinomyces sp. RNAcentral's name for it is "TPP sequence". It matches the Rfam family "TPP riboswitch aptamer (THI element)". Rfam says of the family: Vitamin B(1) in its active form thiamin pyrophosphate (TPP) is an essential coenzyme that is synthesised by coupling of pyrimidine and thiazole moieties in bacteria. The record is from RNAcentral. RNAcentral also lists the same sequence under 1 other name. Lineage: Bacteria; Bacillati; Actinomycetota; Actinomycetes; Actinomycetales; Actinomycetaceae.